Molecule: ribosomal RNA, 253 nt
Filed under: uncultured prokaryote
Description: partial 16S ribosomal RNA
Rfam family: Bacterial small subunit ribosomal RNA
Source: RNAcentral
UACAGAGGUCCCAAGCGUUGUUCGGAUUCACUGGGCGUAAAGGGCGCGUAGGCGGUUUUUUAAGUGAGGCGUGAAAGCCCUGGGCUUAACCUAGGAGGUGCGUUUCAUACUGAAAGACUUGAGUACGAGAGAGGAAAGUGGAAUUCCUAGUGUAGAGGUGAAAUUCGUAGAUAUUAGGAAGAACACCAGUGGCGAAGGCGACUUUCUGGCUCGUAACUGACGCUGAGGCGCGAAAGCGUGGGGAGCAAACAGG